GGUGGGGAAUAUGUGGCGGUUAGAAAACAAGGGUGGGAUGGGUGGGUAUUUUUUUUUGUUUAUAUAUACGCAGCAAGCAAUGAUGAUCAGAUCAAGGGUGGGAUGGAUGGGUACAUGGAGCAAGCAAUUUGAUGAUUAGAACAAAGAUAAUAACUAGAACAAUGUGGAAAAGAAAAAUUCAGCAACUAGACAAAUAUUAAAGGAUUAAAACUCGAUAAAGCAAACUACAAAAUCAGUAGCACAUAUGAAUUUGGGCUGUAGGUUUUCUUUUUGGCUCUCAGUGGACAGUAGGUAUUUAAACUCUAUCCUACCAAAAUCAAGAACAAUCCUACCGAGGAAACGAAGGCUUUGAUACCAGAUGAUAUGCUCACGCCUAGGGAUAGCGUGAGACAAGUCGUUGUGGCCCGAUCUUCUCGUAGGAUUCGCGAACUUGAUAACUUGUCGCUGCGUGACCUGGUGAAGAGGCAGUGCACCGCGAGGCUGUCCACGCGACGAACUACCGAGACAAUCACCCUUCCACGUACCGACGAACAGCCCACGCAGUCACGCCGUAUAGACGUGAAGGCACAAGCUGUAACAUCCCUGAUGUUACGGUUACUAAAAAUGGAUCAUGUCAUCAUGAGCAUUGCAAAUCAUAUUUGUUAAAGCACAUUAGCAUGCA
This 661-nucleotide long non-coding RNA is filed under the name Sorghum bicolor (sorghum). RNAcentral's name for it is "long non-coding RNA (SBIC_LNC006619)". The record is from RNAcentral. Lineage: Eukaryota; Viridiplantae; Streptophyta; Magnoliopsida; Poales; Poaceae.